RNAcentral lists this ribosomal RNA (449 nucleotides) under uncultured bacterium. Its description in RNAcentral is "bacterial SSU rRNA". It matches the Rfam family "Bacterial small subunit ribosomal RNA", at positions 329 to 792 of the family's 1533-position model. The record is from RNAcentral.
GGCCAGACUCCUACGGGAGGCAGCAGUGGGGAAUAUUGGGCAAUGGGCGCAAGCCUGACCCAGCAACGCCGCGUGAAGGAAGAAGGCUUUCGGGUUGUAAACUUCUUUUCUCAGGGACGAAGAAAGUGACGGUACCUGAGGAAUAAGCCACGGCUAACUACGUGCCAGCAGCCGCGGUAAUACGUAGGGGGCAAGCGUUAUCCGGAAUUACUGGGUGUAAAGGGUGCGUAGGUGGUUUGACAAGUUAGUAGCGUAAUUCCGGGGCUCAACUUCGGAACUACUACUAAAACUGUUGGGCUUGAGUGCAGGAGAGGUGAAUGGAAUUCCUAGUGUAGCGGUGGAAUGCGUAGAUAUUAGGAGGAACACCAGCGGCGAAAGCGAUUCACUGGACUGUAACUGACACUGAGGCACGAAAGCGUGGGGAGCAAACAGGAUUAGAUACCCUAGUA